UGCCACAGCUAUGUCACCCUGCAGCCCAAGACCAGUUGCUCAAUGAAGCUAAGCAGGGCUGAGCAUGGUGAGUACCUGAAUGGGAGACCACAAAAGGAAACCAGGUUGCUAUUGGAA
Ribosomal RNA from Danio rerio (zebrafish), 117 nucleotides. The record is from Ensembl. Lineage: Eukaryota; Metazoa; Chordata; Actinopteri; Cypriniformes; Danionidae.